Molecule: ribosomal RNA, 507 nt
Filed under: uncultured bacterium
Lineage: Bacteria
Description: partial 16S ribosomal RNA
Rfam family: Bacterial small subunit ribosomal RNA
Source: RNAcentral
GACGAACGCUGGCGGCGUGCCUAAUACAUGCAAGUCGAACGCUUCUUUCCUCCCGAGUGCUUGCACUCAAUUGGAAAGAGGAGUGGCGGACGGGUGAGUAACACGUGGGUAACCUACCCAUCAGAGGGGGAUAACACUUGGAAACAGGUGCUAAUACCGCAUAACAGUUUAUGCCGCAUGGCAUAAGAGUGAAAGGCGCUUUCGGGUGUCGCUGAUGGAUGGACCCGCGGUGCAUUAGCUAGUUGGUGAGGUAACGGCUCACCAAGGCCACGAUGCAUAGCCGACCUGAGAGGGUGAUCGGCCACACUGGGACUGAGACACGGCCCAGACUCCUACGGGAGGCAGCAGUAGGGAAUCUUCGGCAAUGGACGAAAGUCUGACCGAGCAACGCCGCGUGAGUGAAGAAGGUUUUCGGAUCGUAAAACUCUGUUGUUAGAGAAGAACAAGGACGUUAGUAACGGAACGUCCCCGGACGGUAUCUAACCAGAAAGCCACGGCUAACUACGG